CAAGAACACACCCAACAAAGGAGCAGCCAUAUCCUUUUCUUCUGAUCUUCUUCAUGACCAUCAGUCAUUCACCUUAAGACUAAUAACUCUAUCUUAGUAUCAUUAGCCAUGUAAACCAACCAUUAGAAACUCCCAUUUUUACUAUCUAACAUCACCAGAUCCAACUGAAAUUUCAUGAAAAUCAGUGGCAAAGUAGCCCGCAUCAGUCCCAAUCUCGGCCAUUGAAAAUUUCAAGCCUAGUCGAGUACGUCCGAGGUUCGUCGAACUCCAACAAGCCGCGAAUUCGAGGUUCUAGAAUGGUGGUCUUGACAGUCUUCCAGUGUUGAGCAAACGUAGUCAGAUCCUCUUUGCUAUAAGAUCCAGGUACCGCUACUCAGGCCUACCAUCCUUGAGGGAGGCGACUGCUCUAGAGAUUUCGAGAUUAUGAGGACACCUGCUACCCGAGAUGAUCAGGCACCUGCACCCCUUACUACAGCCGGUAGAGGCUGGGGCCGAGGUAGAGGUCGAGGACGCGCACAUGGUGCAGCCAGAGCACUUGCGCGAGCUGCUGCCGAGGUAC
Nicotiana tabacum (common tobacco) is the source of this 559-nucleotide non-coding RNA. The record is from RefSeq and is a predicted model, not a curated record. Lineage: Eukaryota; Viridiplantae; Streptophyta; Magnoliopsida; Solanales; Solanaceae.